Molecule: ribosomal RNA, 443 nt
Filed under: uncultured bacterium
Lineage: Bacteria
Description: partial 16S ribosomal RNA
Rfam family: Bacterial small subunit ribosomal RNA
Source: RNAcentral
GAUGAACGCUGGCGGCAUGCCUAACACAUGCAAGUCGAUCGGUAAGGCUCUUCGGAGUACACGAGAGGCGGACGGCUGAGUAACGCGUAGGAACACACCCUGCAGUGAGGGAUAAGACACCGAAAGGUGUUCUAAUACCGCAUACGGUCUUCGGAUUAAAGCAUUUAUGCGCUGAAGGAGUGGCCUGCGUCAUAUUAGAUAGUUGGUGAGGUAAUGGCUCACCAAGUCGAUGAUGUGUAGCUGGUCUGAGAGGAUGAUCAGCCAGACUGGAACUGAGACACGGUCCAGACUCCUACGGGAGGCAGCAGUGAGGAAUAUUUCACAAUGAGCGAAAGCUUGAUGGAGCAAUGCCGCGUGCAGGAUGAAGGCCCUCGGGUUGUAAACUGCUUUUAUAAGAGAAGAUUAUGACGGUAACUUAUGAAUAAGGGACGGCUAACUACAUG